GGCUUUAUGGGAUAAUGACACUUGCUCGAUCAUUUUGAAGGCAGAGCACUGCCAAGGCCACACCAUGGUUAGCUGCAAACCAUGUCAUUCUAAGUCACCACCUAUUUAAGCCUUUGUAGCAUGCCAUUCUAACUAAACACUCUACUGUGUUUAAUUCUUAGCUUCACCCCAAGCACGCACAGUUUCUCAAUACACCCAUCCAGAACUACCACCAGAUGCAAUAAAUCUUCUCUUUUGCGCUGGCAACCGGCUAGCAUGCCCUGGGCUCCAAUCAGCCGCUGAACUCGCCUAGGCCCAAGUAUCCAGACACCCAGGAGUCAGAGACCAUCAACCUUGAUGGUCCUGACAAGGAUGGUGAUCAUGUUUCCGGUGCUUGAUAGGAAGAGGAAGAGGGGAGCCUUGAUGAAGGACGAGCUGACCGUCUUCACCAGCAUGACUCAAGGCGUGAAGGAGGUCGCCACCGCCAUCAGGGAGAGCAAGCCGGUCGACGUCCACCUUGAACUCUACAUCAUCGUCAUGGACCAAGGUGGCUUCAUCCCAGAGGCUCUCAUGGCGGCUCUCAGCCACCUGCUGGACAACAAAGCCCAGGGGGUUGGGUUGUUGCCAUGGGAGACGCCCAUAGAGUGCUCUGGCUGAGGGCCUUGCAGGGCAAGCACUACUGCUAGUGUUGUUUCUGCUGGUGGUGAUGGCGUGCAUGAUCCUCGACGGCGAUGGCGAUGUGAUGACGACGACGAUGUACAUUUUGUGGUAGCUAGGGCUUGAUAAACUCUUGAUGUUGGCAUGUAUAUUUCAAUGAGGUGGUAUAUUAACCCCUCACGCCGAUGGCGAACUUGCGGUGGUAGGACACCACCCUCUUUUGAAUGUGGUGGUAGGAUGGCACCAUAGUAGUGAUAGGAUGAACUUGCUAUGCCAUAUGAUCAUGAAUGCUUACUCAUGUUUCAUGUCUAGUGUUCUCAUUGGCCAUUGCUUGUUGCUUGGUCUGUUGCUCUUCUGCAAUGUUAGAAAAAGUGAUAUGUGGUGUUCCACGUGAGGGUUUCAGGGGUUUACAGUUCAUGGGAAGCAUACAAUACACAAGUGUCAGGUUACAACAGCUGCCAUAGAGGGUUUAAGACAAGGCAUGCAGCAGAGGAUUUACUCCAAGGCCGUGCUCAAGCAGGCAUGCAAUGUUGAACUUGGAAUUGCGGAUCUACACUUUGGGCCGAAGAACUUCAUCAUCUUCGUCCAGUUCGUCAUGGUUGUAGUAUUGUUUUGUUGAUGUGAUUGGUGUGAUGGUUUCUAAGGUGUAGUAGCGGGUAAGCUCACCAUGAAGGGUACAAAGUGACUACACCUCUAUACUCAUAUGCAACCAAACACCGUGCGCCAGUAUAAGCACAGCCUAUGCGAGCAAGCAAACACGGUGCAUAAAGGUGUUACUACGAUGCAGGCAGCCAAAUAACAUGCAGAUCUAUAUAGAUCCUAAAGGGAUCUUCAGUUUGGAUGGAACACCAAAAAUACAAACAAAGUUAUAGCAAAAUAAAGAGAGCUCGCUUCAGAUUCAGAGUUGUCUGCACGGACAAAUGUAAAUUGGUUUGGGUUUGGGGUUGGCACUUUUUGGCCCUCAUCUGAGGCGCUGGAACACACGACACGGCGCACGUCUAUGAAAACAGAGCUGCUAAAAAUCAGUUGACUGAGACUUCGUGAAGUCUCAGUCGACUGGUGAGCCGUCCGAUCCGUUUGUUGCUUGUAGAUUCACGCUGGGUCGUUUUUGUGCCUUUUUCGGCCUGUCUAAGGCGCGGUGGGCUCGGACUAGUCAGUUCGCCUUAGCGCGGCCGAGGGUGAGCGUUUUGCUCUUUCGUGGGCUGGGCUUUUUUGUUUGUCUGUUUCUAUCUUGAUUUUUUUUUCUCGGUCUGCUUUCUUCUUUUUGACGUUUGUUACAGGGGAGGGGAAGCGGCCACCGGUGGUAAAUUAGAGGAGGGGAAGCUGCAGUCAUUCGUCUCUAUCCAUUCCCCUCUCCCCCCUUCUCUCUCUAUCACUUUUUACCUCUGUCAAAAUCUGAAGAUCUCUGCAGCAAACGAAGGAAUUGCUGUGCUGCUCAACGUCCAACGAGAGUAUGGGGGACGCUGCUGAUGGAGUACAAGGACUUUCAAGAAUCAAGUGAUAUCUCUAUAGUCUCAGUUUGUGCUUGGCGCCGUGAUAGGUGAACCCGAUGAGCGAGCAUCGUCCAUUUGAUUAGCUUGAUGGAGGCUGAGAUGCACUGGAUAUACGUGAGAAAGAGAUCAGGCUGACAACGAUCAAGCCGGAUGGCACCGCAACUGUGACUCUAGGCAUGCAACUCUUCAAUCACAGCAUCACGAUCUCCAUUUUUUUCACCAUUAGUUUCUUUUCAUUGCGAGUCAGCUUGUUAGCUGUUGACUCAAGUGUACAAAAAAGGAGCAGCCAUGGGCUUUCUUUUUCACACUGUUUUCUUAUCAUCAUUAUUAUCCGUAGGUUUUUAAACUUGUACUAAAGAAUGACAACGUUUUGUGUUAGAUAAUUAUGACAUAGGAAGGGUGGCGCGAAACUGACGAUUAUAUAUGUGUUACUUGAUUAAGGCUCAUUUGGUCAUUUAA
Long non-coding RNA from Triticum urartu, 2588 nucleotides. RefSeq lists it as uncharacterized. NCBI's taxonomy places the organism in Eukaryota, Viridiplantae, Streptophyta, Magnoliopsida, Poales, Poaceae. The record is from RefSeq and is a predicted model, not a curated record.